GGGGAAUAUUGCACAAUGGGCGAAAGCCUGAUGCAGCAACGCCGCGUGAGCGAUGAAGGCCUUCGGGUCGUAAAGCUCUGUCCUAAGGGAAGAAUUUUGACGGUACCUUAGGAGGAAGCCCCGGCUAACUACGUGCCAGCAGCCGCGGUAAUACGUAGGGGGCAAGCGUUAUCCGGAAUCACUGGGCGUAAAGGGUGCGUAGGCGGCUUUACAAGUCAGGGGUGAAAGGCUACGGCUCAACCGUAGUAAGCCUUUGAAACUGUAGAGCUUGAGUGCAGGAGAGGAGAGUGGAAUUCCUAGUGUAGCGGUGAAAUGCGUAGAUAUUAGGAGGAACACCAGUGGCGAAGGCGACUCUCUGGACUGUAACUGACGCUGAGGCACGAAAGCGUGGGGAGCGAAC
Molecule: ribosomal RNA, 400 nt
Filed under: uncultured bacterium
Lineage: Bacteria
Description: bacterial SSU rRNA
Rfam family: Bacterial small subunit ribosomal RNA
Source: RNAcentral